UACGAAGGGGGCUAGCGUUGCUCGGAAUUACUGGGCGUAAAGGGCGCGUAGGCGGAUACUUAAGUCGGGGGUGAAAGCCCAGGGCUCAACCCUGGAAUAGCCUUCGAUACUGGGUAUCUUGAGUUCGGGAGAGGUGAGUGGAACUCCGAGUGUAGAGGUGAAAUUCGUAGAUAUUCGGAAGAACACCAGUGGCGAAGGGGACUCACUGGCCCGAUACUGACGCUGAGGCGCGAAAGCGUGGGGAGCAAACAGG
RNAcentral lists this ribosomal RNA (253 nucleotides) under uncultured prokaryote. Its description in RNAcentral is "partial 16S ribosomal RNA". It matches the Rfam family "Bacterial small subunit ribosomal RNA", at positions 524 to 776 of the family's 1533-position model. The record is from RNAcentral.